CCAAUAGCGUAUAUUAAAGUUGUUGCAGUUAAAAAGCUCGUAGUUGAAUUUCGGGGUUAGUAGGUUGGUCGUUCCACUGGUAUGUACUGGUCUUACUGACUUCUCCUUUCUGAAGAACUGUAAUGCCAUUAAUUUGGUGCUGCAGGGAAUAAGGACUGUUACUUUGAAAAAAUGAGAGUGUUUAAAGCAGGCUAACGCUUGAAUACAGUAGCAUGGAAUAAUGAAAUAGGACGUUCGAUCCUAUUUUGUUGGUUUCUAGGAUUGACGUAAUGAUUAAUAGGGAUAGUUGGGGGCAUUAGUAUUCAAUUGUCAGAGGUGAAAUUCUUGGAUUUAUUGAAGACUAACUACUGCGAAAGCAUUUGCCAAGGAUGUUUUCAUUAAUCAAGAACGAAAGUUAGGGGAUCGAAGACGAUCAGAUACCGUCGUAGUCUUAACCAUAAACUAUGCCGACUAGGGAUCGGAUGAUGUUAAUUUUUUAAUGACUCAUUCGGCGCCUUACG
Molecule: ribosomal RNA, 500 nt
Filed under: uncultured Glomeromycotina
Lineage: Eukaryota; Fungi; Glomeromycota
Description: partial small subunit ribosomal RNA
Rfam family: Eukaryotic small subunit ribosomal RNA
Source: RNAcentral